This is a non-coding RNA of Coturnix japonica (Japanese quail), 611 nucleotides long. NCBI's taxonomy places the organism in Eukaryota, Metazoa, Chordata, Aves, Galliformes, Phasianidae. The record is from RefSeq and is a predicted model, not a curated record.
CACCUGCGGGCGGCCGGAGGAGGAGCGAGGCCGGAUCCGGGGCACGGAGCGUCCAGCCCCCUGGAGGAGGUGAUGCUCGAGGCGGUCGCCCUCACCUCAGGCACUCAGGGUGGGGGAGGCCGGCAGCGGGCCACGCGGAGGCGUGCGGGGAGAGAGUCUGCCCGAGGCGACUUAGAGCCAGUCUGGCCGAGGGGUAGGUAGAGGUACUGGAAAGUCUCAGAUUCGCCCUGGACUUUCGCUUUCUCUUCUUGUUGCAGGACUUGGCAAGAGGCCUGAGGUUGCUGCUGCCCCGCAGGGUCACUCACCAUCCCAUCUCCACAGUCACAUAGCCUAGAGUUUAACUGAAUUAGUCCUGAGGGGAGUAGGAGAAUAAAACCGGAUGCAAAAGCAAGAUGCUUCCAUGAUUCCAGGAAAAUGCUGCCAGACUCCCCUUCCUUGCUGCCACUGUAGAGGAGAGGCUGGGUACAGCCAAAGCAGCAUCCCCCUAUGGCUACCGCUGCACUGCAUGUCCCUUCCGCCACAUUUCCAAACAAAAAGCAGCUCGCUGUGAACUCAUAUCUGCCUCUCAGUAAUCACCCCACACAAUUAAAAUUAAUGUGAACUUCUGCUAA